GACGAACGCUGGCGGCGUGCUUAACACAUGCAAGUCGAACGGAAAGGCCCUGCUUUUGUGGGGUGCUCGAGUGGCGAACGGGUGAGUAACACGUGAGUAACCUGCCCUUGACUUUGGGAUAACUUCAGGAAACUGGGGCUAAUACCGGAUAGGAGCUCCUGCUGCAUGGUGGGGGUUGGAAAGUUUCGGCGGUUGGGGAUGGACUCGCGGCUUAUCAGCUUGUUGGUGGGGUAGUGGCUUACCAAGGCUUUGACAGGUAGCCGGCCUGAGAGGGUGACCGGCCACAUUGGGACUGAGAUACGGCCCAGACUCCUACGGGAGGCAGCAGUGGGGAAUAUUGCACAAUGGGCGGAAGCCUGAUGCAGCAACGCCGCGUGCGGGAUGACGGCCUUCGGGUUGUAAACCGCUUUCGCCUGUGAUGAAGCGUGAGUGACGGUAAUGGGUAAAGAAGCACCGGCUAACUACGUG
RNAcentral lists this ribosomal RNA (468 nucleotides) under uncultured bacterium. RNAcentral's name for it is "partial 16S ribosomal RNA". It matches the Rfam family "Bacterial small subunit ribosomal RNA", at positions 28 to 507 of the family's 1533-position model. The record is from RNAcentral.